This 8614-nucleotide long non-coding RNA is filed under the name Equus caballus (horse). RNAcentral's name for it is "lncRNA (ENSECAG00000045314.1)". Lineage: Eukaryota; Metazoa; Chordata; Mammalia; Perissodactyla; Equidae. The record is from RNAcentral.
GGAGGAUCAGUACUCCCCGGCACAUGGUCUGCUUCCCAGGCUUAACAGGUUACAUGGACUCCCUUCUUUUUUCUCCACCUGCCCUGUGCUCCAGGCCCUGUGCUGGGUGUGGGGGCCCAGAGGUACCAUCUCAUCUAAGCCUCAUAGCAACCUACAAGGUGAACCAAGUGCCGGGCCCGACACUUUUGAAUUUGGGCCUCACCCUGUGAGUCGGCAUCAGGGAGUUAUUCCUGUUUGACAGGAAAGGGUGCUGAGACUCGGAGUGUUGAAGUCAGUCUCCUAAGCAAGUCGGAAGGUCUUCUGAUUCCACGUGGCUAUUUCUGCUGGAGGCGGGUAAGUGUCUUCAGGUCUUUUCAGAACGUAAGCCCUCUCUGGUUCCCUUCCCUACCCCGGGUUGCUAGAACUCUGACUGAAGGUAGGUACAGGUAAGGAGAGGGUGCAGAUUCCCAAGGACUAACUCCCAAUAGCAACUCCAAUGUUAACAGUUGACAUGUGUUGAACCCUUGCUUUGUGGCAGGUGUGAUGCUUAUGUGUGUUUGUGCAGCCUCAGAAUCUUUCUUUUGUUUUGUUUUUCUUCAGGAAGAUUAGCCCUGAGCUAACUACUGCCAAUCCUCCUCUUUUUGCUGAGGAAGACUGGCCCUGAGCUAACAUCCAUGCCCAUCUUCCUCUACUUUAUAUGUGGGACGCCUACCACAGCAUGGAUUGCCAAGCAGUGCCAUGUCUGCACCCGGGAUCUGAACCGGCGAACCCGGGCCGCCCAAGCGGAACGUGCACACUUAACCACUGUGCCACUGGGCGGCCCCCUAGAAUCUUUCUUUCUUUCUUUUUUUAAAGAUUGGCACCUGAGCUAACAGCUGUUGCCAAUCGUCUUUUUUUCUUCUUUUUCUCCCCAAAUACCCCCAGUACGUAGUUGUAUAUUUUAGUUGUGGGUCCUUCUAGUGUGGCAUGUGGGAUGCCGCCUCAGCGUGGCCUGACGAGCAGUGCCAUGUCCGUGUCCAGGAUAUGAACUGGCAAAACCCCAGGCCACUGAAGCGGAGCAUGCAAACUUAACCUCUCGGCCAAAGGGCUGGCCCCUCAGAAUCUUUCUUAACACAGUGCUUCAGGCAGCUGCUGCUACCCAAUAUGCGUAGGCACAGGAGUUCAGUUCAAAUGAACCAAUAUUAGUGAGCACCUACCAUGAGCCAGGCACUGGCCUGGGCCCGAAGGAUGCAGGGGAGAACCAGGGCAAUAUCCGGGAGGCAGACUGAGAUGACUGUGAUAAUGUAGGGGAGUGGCUAGAUUGUGGGGACGCAGACACGGGGCCCCUAGUGUCAAACUGAGGGGCUAGGAAAAGUUUCUCAGAGGAAGUAAUGUUUAAGCUGAUGACUGAGAGUUCAGUAGGACUUAACCACGCAAAGAAGAAAGGAUGGCGGGGAAGAGUUCUAGGCUGGGAGAAGCCUACAACCACAGAGGCCUGAAGGAGGGAGGAGAACAACCUAUCUGAAGAGCUUAAGUAUGCUAAUGUGGCAGAGGGGGGAGUGGGAGGAGGGAGGGAGAGGGCAGGGCCUCGACUCAGGGCACCCCAGGCCAGGAUAAGAGGUCUAGUCUCGCCCUGCCCUGCGGCACGGGUGCCUACUGAUCCAGCUUCCCACCCCCCUUCCACAUGGAACUUUCCUGUUUGCAAGACCCUCUCACAUCAGUGAGAGUCGCCCAAUACCUCUGAGCAGGAGGUGGAGCAGGGGUCACCACGCCCAUUUUGCAGAUGAAGAAACUGAAUCUCAGAGGUUACAAGGUUGGGCCAUUUUACCUGGCUGGUAAAAAGGGCAUUGGGGCUGGCCCCCAGACCGCUUCAGGCUGGUACUGAGCCAAGGGCCAGCACUAUUUGCAGGACAUCAGUGUGGGUUCUGGGAUGAUGGUAUGAGGUAGGGUAGGAGCACAGUCUGGUUUGGGGAAGCCCUGGGGAUACAGAGGGAGGGUGGGGAUUCCUCCUCCCCAAAGCUCCCAGCUGGAGAGGGUUGCUGCCGCUUCUGUCUUGCAGUCUGUCCCCAGUGACUGGCUGGGGGUGAGUCAGCCUGGAUGAAGUCACCCACUUCCGCGCAGCCUGUGCCCCCUGACCUGGGAGGCGCCUGCCAGGGGCACCAGUCGAGCUGGAGGACGGGUUGGGCAGCUCUCCAGGUCGCUCUGUCACAGCUGAUUUAGGGGGGCUGGAGGUGUCCGGAGCCAUCCGAAGCAGCUGGGCGUCUGGGGCUGCGAGGCCCAUAAGUCAUGCCGCCACCCGCCAUUCCCUGCAGUGCUCCCCGAGAGGUAAGUAUUUACUGACCACCUGCUGUGUGCCAGGCAUGGUUCUGCGGUGGAGACGCGAUGCUGCAUGAAACACUCACAGUCCUGCACUCAUGGAGCAUACAGUCUGGCUGGGUAAGACAGGCCGACUGGUAAUAGAGAAAUGGGAAAGUAUCAGACGGGGAAGAAUGCUAGGUGAGCAUUAAGAUCGGGUGAUGUGAUCAGGGAAGGCCUCUCUGAAGAGGAGACAGGUAAGCUGACACUUGAGAAGAUAACCCUUCAGCUGUGAGGCAGAUUUUCUGAAAAUCUAGCCCUGUUGGGCUGGGGCUGGGGCUGGGGUCGGAGGUGCACUUCAGGGAAACGAAUCGAAUCAGCAGAUGUAAAGGCAGGGAGCUCCCCCCAAUCGCUCCCCUUGUGAGGCCGGCUCCGGACUGCACCCACCUGUGCGGCUCACCCUGGGGCCUGGCUGUGUGGGCGGCUGCGGGGCAGGCUGGGUAAAUGGCUCUGCUUCCUGGAAUGUCUCUCUCAGUAGAGGAAGCAUUCAGUAAUUUAAUACAUUAUUUUUAUUAGAAACAAGCAUGGCUUGCUUAUAGGGGAAUUCACAAGACCCUUUAAAGAUAAAACAGGAGAUGUCAAAGAAACCUUGGGUGGAGCAGCUGACCCUGACCCAAAGAUCUGCUUUCACUCUUCUUGAGUCCUGGGGUUCCUUGUGGUGAGGUAUGAGCAGCUGGGUCAGUCCUUUCCCGGCCCAGCUUUAUUUGGGUCCCUCUCUGUCAGGAGUCCUCUGUCACUCCCCAUUGCCCAGUAACAUGAACGCCAGCCAGUUCUCAGUUCUUGAAUGAUUAUCUUAGGCUGGGCAUACUGCCUGUCUGAAUCCUCAGAACAACGCUGUUAGGCAGAAACUAUUGUUAUUUCCAGUUUACAGAUAAGGAAACUGAGCCUUGGACAGGGGAAGAGACUUUUCCGAGGUCCUACAGCAGAUUAGUGGCAAAGCCGGGACUCAAACUUAGCUGGUGCCAUUAAUCACUACUGCUUCUCCCAUAGCUACAUCCUCACUCUUACCUGCUCCUGACCCAACUUCCCCUUAUCCUGUGCUCCACAGACUGAGCAAACAGCCCCUUUGCUGCUCCCAAACAUGCCGCACGGGUUCCCACCUCCGAACCUUUGCAUGUGCUGUUCCCUCCGCCUCGAGUCUCCUGCCUCCCAUCUCUGUUUGUUGCAACCCUAACCAUUCUUCAUGGUUUUGUUCAGCUUCUUCCUCUUCCGUGAAGUCAUGUGCUUACUCCCACAAACAAGGGGCUGCCCUUUAUCUCUCAUGCCCCGCAGUUCUCUCUGCCCUAUUCUCUCGGCCCUUAUCACAAUACUUUGUGUGCCCAGGGAUUGGAGUGGGACAGACCAGGGUUUAAGUUCAAGUCUCGUUUCUGUCAUGUAUGGGCUCUGGGAUCUUGAGAAGACAGCGACCUUUGUAAGUCUCAGUUUCUUCUUUGGUAAAGUGAGCCUAAGGUGGGGAACAAAUAGACAAUGAAUCAGAAACACUCAGCAUAGGGUCUAGUUAGUGCUGAAUCAAUGGCAACUGUUGUUACAUAACCUCUCCCUGCCUCAGUUUCUUCAUCUGUAAAAGGGGGGAAAUACGGUACUUCAAUGCUCUCUUGUAGGGUGGUCAUAAAAGAUGGCAAAGGGCGUCUGAAGUGCCUGGCACACAGUCAGUGCUCAACAGGAGAGGGCAGGUCCAGGGACUCAUCACAUCUCUCUCCCUCAUAGGCCCAGCCUGGGCUUUGUGGCUCGGAGCAUGUUUUUUCAGUUGAAGUUGAGGUAGAUUUGCAUUUCCAAGGGAUGUGGCCUCAUUCAGUCCAGGCUGCCCUCACACCCAGCCUGGUGGGAAAGGGGGAAAUGACUUGGCGCCCACAAAAUCUCCACCAUCAUCAUAAUCACAAUAAUUAAUUUUUUGUUAGGGGCAACUGGCAUUUUCUUUAUUUUAUGUAAAGUGCUUUUGGAAAACUUUGCUAUUUUUAUUGAUCUGUAACCUAUUAUUUAAGUACAAACAGCGGUUGCACACACAGCUUCAAGCAGGGCCUGCAGCUCCCCUCCAAACACACUGCUGCCUGCAGUCCUCCCUGAGGAGGAAUUUGGGAGCUGUCUCUGUCCAACUGCCCUCCACUCCCACCCUCCCUUGGUUAUGAAGCAAAUUCUCUGGAAACUCUGCCCUUUGGUGGCUGGGGGUGGGGAUAGGGAAAGACCCUAGCUCCUUUCACAGAGGGAGCGUUGUUUUCAGUCAUCUUCACAGGGGGGACCAGAUCUGAUGAGCAUUAGCAAAAAGAUGGGCUGACCCAAGGGCAGGCUGGGAAAUCUACUUUGAGGUGAGGGAAGGGCUGUCCCCUGAAGGCCAAUGGGGCCUCCGUCCCUAAAGACCUGCAACCUUUCCUGCCAAUUCUUCAGAGAACCUCUCAGCCUAAUUUCAGAGCCAGGAAGACCAAGACUGAAGUCCUAGUGGCCCCAUCUUGGGGCUAUUUCUCUGGGGAGUGGGAUUGAUCCUACUUUAGGAGUAUAGGCAGCCAAUGGGAGGCUGGGGCUUGGUUAUGUCUCCAUUUUUGGCCACAGCUGAUGGAAAUGGAGCUUCUCGGAGGAAGAGGCUCUGUCCGUAGGGCAACUCUUUUUUUUUUUUCCCUAGGAAGAUUAGCCCUGAGCUGACAUCCACUGCCAGUCCUCCUCUUUUUUUUUUUUUUGCUAAGGAAGACAGGCCCUGAGCUAACAUCUGUGCCCAUCUUCCUCUAUUUUAUAUGUGGAAUGCCUGCCACAGCAUGGCUUGACAAGUGGUGCAUAGGUCUGCACCCAGGAUUCGAGCCAGCGAACCCUGGGCCACUGAAGCAGUGCAUGUGAACUUAACCGCUAACCCACCGGGCUGGCCCCACAGGGCGACUCUGAAGUGUGAAGUUCUUGCAGUCUGGCUGGUCUACUGGGUGCCCAGGUGUCCCACGCUACUGGUUGGGGUCUGAGCAUCAGUUUGAAAACGUUGGUUAGGAGCUGGAGAAACUAUCCAGUAGUUUGGAAAAUUGGAUAUAAGAAGAGAGGAAUGGGGCAGCAGACCCUAAAAGGGCUCUCUUUUUGGUUCACGGUACCUGAGGAUUUCAAGAAACCUUUGCCUGGAGGGACAUGGAGACCUGAGGGCAGCUGGGCCUCCAGGUGUCCCUGUGGAGCCUGGUAGCCCCUUCCUCCUUUCCCAGUUCUCCAUAGCCCCGUGUACCCAGGGACAGCAGAGGCUUGGCAGUGAGUGACGAGAAAGAUCGUGUGUGGCCUCGGGAGGGGAGAGAACUCCUUGGGCCUUUCUAGGCAGCCCCUACCUCCUCCCCACCUUGGGUGUUGGGAGCCCGGCCAUCCUUCUUGUGCUCCAGGUUAUGUAGUUAACACUGUUUCUUGAGAGUCCCUGUGGCCCAGGUUUGUGCUAGGUAUGUAUCCCCAUGGGAGCCCUCAAGGGGCUCACCAUCAAGAGGAGGGAGCCAAACGAGUAGACAGCUGAUUACAUCUCAAACAGGUCUGAGGUUGGUGAUGCUCACAGCAGAGGUCCCUAAUCUGGUCUGAGAGGCCAAGGAAGGCUGCCUGGAAGUAACAUGCUGGGUUCCAAUUAUGGCUGCACCGCUUACUAGUUGUGUGACCUUGGAAGAGUUCCUUAACCUUGCUGUGCUUUACUUUCUUCAUCUUUAAAAAGGGGAUAAUAAUAAUACCUACUUCAAAGGGUUGUUGUGAGGAUUUAAUGAGUUAAUACAUGUAAAUAUCCCUUAGAACAGUGCCUGCUGCACAGUAACUAUUCUAUAAAUGUUAAAUAAAAAAUAAAAACAGCUCCCACUUGGAUGAGUAGGACUUGGCGAGCAGAUGGAUGGGAAAGUGUCCUAGGCAAAGAGAACAAGGGCCUGGGUGUGAGAAAGCAGGCUCCUCUAAGGAACUCCAUUUUGUAUCACCAGGGGAGGGUGUGACUGGUGGCUGUUCUGGUCUAUGAUUUGGGCUGGGGACUCCAUCCCCUCCCUUCCACUGCCACAGUGUGGUCCUUGGGCCUGAGAUGGGACUGAGUCCAUGGGCCUGGCCAUGCCCAGCCAUUCAUUCCUCUGCCAGUCCUGCCACUGUCCGCGAGCCAGGCCUCAGGCUGGACAGCGCUGGGCAUUCUCCUGUGGGCAUCUGGAGCUCCCCAUUUGGUGGGGAAGCCCAGGGAUCAGGAGGGCUUCUUGGGGGAGGUGCUCUCUGAACAAUGUGCCAAAAGGAAGAUGAAAAGUUCCCCAGUUGCGGGGAGAGGAGGGAGUUCCAGACAGAGGGAAUGACCUGUGCAAAUGUUGAGAGGGAGGGAUUCCAACUCUGAGGAGAAACAAAAAGACCUUCGGUGGAGUUUAAGUUCUGGGCCUGGGCGUCCCCCUCUGGGUCGAUUGUAUCAGGAGGCUUGCAUGGUCCUCACCUUGCCCUUUAGCCUCAGCAGGGGUGGUGGCCUGAGAGGUUAAAGUCCAGUGUUGCUCCAGGGCCAGCCCAAGAGCUGAGGGUAGGGGCGCCAGUUACCCUGGUCCCUCCCUCUCACUCCAGAGCUGGGAGGGUUUGGCAAAGCAACAAGGCAGCCUUUGUGUCCCUCUGUGGGUCUAGGCACGUCUGGCCCAGCCUAGGCGGCUGCUGGUUUCAGUGCCCUGUGAUUCCAGCCAGGCACUGCAGGGCGGGGCAGGCAGGGCGUCUUCAGGGCCCACAGUGUGGCUGCCUUGUGUCCCCUGCACCCCCGCCAGGGCUCCCGAGUGGCUAGCCUCACCGAGUUCCUUGUGCCAUGCAUGAAUGUGAGGGUGACCUGGGCAAGAGAUGGCAGCUGACGGGAUUGGUGGUGAUGGCAGGUCAGUAUGUGAUGGGUGCCUAGGUCUGAGUCCUGUGAAAGUGGGGACUGUAGAGGUGACUCUGAGCAGGGACGGCUUCCCAUUCCCACCUCAGGCCUGGCUGCCCUUCUCCUCCAAUGGGCCCUCUGUCCCUGCCCCAACUUGUCCCCUUGAGCUGCUAGAGCUCAGCUCCUGACCAGAUCUGAUAUGGGGAGACAGACAGUUUCUGUGCAAGACAGGCCUCUACAUCCUGCUGUGUACGUCUGUCCUCCUGGGCUGGGUCCCUGGGCCUGUGUGGGUGUGCCACACACAUGUUCAUGGCUGUGCUGUGGGACUGUGUGGUACGUCCUGAGACAUGUAUGUUUGUGACUGACACAUGGUGCGCUCUACCCCCAAAUGCUUGUGAGCUGUAUAUCAUGCCGUGCAUGUUGAGUCAUGUGUGGUCUGUAUUCCUGCCUUUAAUUGGGUGGUGUGUAUUGUGUCUAUAGUUUUUGCAUGUCUUUUGGAGGGUGUGAGUGUCACUGUGGGGGGUACGUGUUUUUGUGUGAUGGUUUGUCAUUGUUGAUCUUGGCCCAGCCCCAGAAGAAGGCCUGCUGAGGCGUUGGGGGUGAGGACUGUGCCUAGACGGGAAGCCCACAGCUGGGAGGUCAGACUGGGAACAGACAUGUCCUCACCCGCCCAGAGAGUGUCACAAGCCCUCAAAGAGCCCCUGUCCAGCUUCACCACCCCUGGCCAGUCAGGGUAGGUGACUAGAAAGGGGGCAUGAGGGAAUCAAAACAACCUUGGCCCACCUCCCACCCCUUGCUGGCACUUGAGCCUAGUGCUGGUGCCCUGGUGCCCUGGGCCGGUCCUCCUAAGGCUCCAAGCACCUGGUAUUGUGGGGGUUGGACAGGGGACAGAGACAUGGCUCGGUUUGGCUCUUGUGACCAAAUUCAGCUUGUAGUGGACCAUGGAGGCAGAGCAGCCCAAGGUCUUACUGGGGCUGGGGCUGCACGGGGUACCAGCCCCACUGAGACAGGCCUGAGGCUAAGUUCAUUACGUGUGUCAUACAGCCAGCAAAUAUUUACUGAGCUUGUGCUCUGUUCCAGGCCCACUUUAGGUGCUGGGAAUAUGGCAGUCACCUCACUGAAUUAGGAGGGAGGCCAGGGGGACUGCUGCUGUGCAUUUUACAGAUGAAGAAACAGAUCCUGAGAGGUUAAGUAAUUUGCCCAAAGUCACAGCAAAGCUGAGAUUUGAAACCAGGCCUGUCUCAUGCCAGAGCCCCCUCCUCCUGCCCUUGAUGCUUACAAUUAACAGCCUACAUGCAUUGAGCUAGGACCAGCUGGGACCGGCAAGGGGCUGGGCAGGCAAUGCUUGGCUAGCCUUGUGCCGUGGGCUAUUGGCUGAUGCAGGAGGGUGGGUACAGUAACUUGUGGCCUCCUAAUUGCUCUGCAGGGAAGGUGGGUUGCCUGGGGUGGUCCCCUGGGCCCCUGGGCUGUGCAUAGAGAUGGUCAGGUAGAGAUUCAGGUGUGGGGGUAGGGGAG